GACGAACGCUGGCGGCGUGCUUAACACAUGCAAGUCGAACGGUGAAGCCCUUCGGGGUGGAUCAGUGGCGAACGGGUGAGUAACACGUGAGCAACCUGCCCCUGGCUCUGGGACAACCACUGGAAACGGUGGCUAAUACCGGAUACGACCCGCCUCGGCAUCGAGUGUGGGUGGAAAGUUUUUCGGCUGGGGAUGGGCUCGCGGCCUAUCAGCUUGUUGGUGAGGUGAAGGCUCACCAAGGCGACGACGGGUAGCCGGCCUGAGAGGGCGACCGGCCACACUGGGACUGAGACACGGCCCAGACUCCUACGGGAGGCAGCAGUGGGGAAUAUUGCACAAUGGGCGAAAGCCUGAUGCAACGACGCCGCGUGAGGGAUGACGGCCUUCGGGUUGUAAACCUCUUUCAGCUCCGAAGAAGCGAAAGUGACGGUAGGAGCAGAAGAAGCACCGGCUAACUACGUG
RNAcentral lists this ribosomal RNA (462 nucleotides) under uncultured bacterium. RNAcentral describes it as "partial 16S ribosomal RNA". It matches the Rfam family "Bacterial small subunit ribosomal RNA", at positions 28 to 507 of the family's 1533-position model. The record is from RNAcentral.